This is a long non-coding RNA of Esox lucius (northern pike), 1697 nucleotides long. Lineage: Eukaryota; Metazoa; Chordata; Actinopteri; Esociformes; Esocidae. The record is from Ensembl.
GUGGGCUGUGCAGUGGGCUGUGCAGUGGGCUGUGCAGUGGGCUGUGCAGUGGGCUGUGCAGUGGGCUGUGCAGUGGGCUGUGCAGUGGGCUGUGCAGGCUUUACACAUGUGCAAAUGUGUUAAUGGUUGCAUCAUUGAUGAUCUCCCAUGAGGAAAUGUUUACUCUUCAAUUUCCUGAUACAGGAGACUACAAACUGGACCUGUAAAAACUCAUGCAUACAGUAUUUGCACAGUUGGUUACAUGAGUGGAAAUGUGAUGCAAAAAUAAUUGAUAGUUGUGAUUUUUCCAGAUUAUUAUGGAAGUUGUUCUGUGUUGUCCAUUUAGUGUUUAGUAAUAGUGAAUGACUGUUUGCCAGUCAUUUUACCUUUAAAAUAGUUGCAUUAUUUGUGAGAUUUGUAUCUUGAAGUGGGAUCUGAAAAUGGUAAAAGGAAAACAAGUAUAAAAAAUAUUUAAUCAAAGCAUCCCUUUCAGGUAGCAUGUCCUGGGCAGGGAGGAACAAACCAAAGUGCUCAGAGAAUUAUAAGCAAAGACACCUUAGACGCCUUAUUAGAGGGUUUUUUUCUGUAGAAAGGCCCAAGAGCGUGACUACACAGAGCUCAGGUAUCCGUUGACUUUCCACCUCCGCAAAGCAUUUAAUUAGCCUGGUCCCAGACCUGUUUGUGUGGUCUUGCUAUCUCAUAAGGGCGUGUCAACAUUUUAGAGGGAAAAAAACAUCAAAAAGAGGAUGGAUUCAUUUACUGUAGGUCAGUGGGCCAUGCCAUAUCCUCUUCUAAUUGGAUAGCGCAUCAGAACUCCUCUAAACCUUUUUUUUGGGGUGGUAAUUGAUGGAUAUGUACCGUUGUCCAUCAACUUAUAAUGGACAAAAUCAUUGACAUCUUCCAAAUCAUUGGAAGUCGACGAUUGGCUAAUUGACUGCAUAGAGAAUGUCAAGUUGUGUUCGUGCGUGCAUGUGUGUGUUCUUGCGUGCCCACAUAAGUGUUUUUUACGAAAUGCAAGAGAAUUAGCAUCAAUGGUUGAAUGGAAAUCUAACAGCAGAUUGGUUGCCACUCAGGACACUCAAGUCAUGUGUGGCUGCUUCCUACUUCCCUCUAGCUCUUUAGCUGAGCCAGUUAGGUGGGGUCGGAUUAACACGCAGUUCUACACGAAAGCGGUCAGGAGAAAAACGAGUCUCGUGAGGCGACCAGACUUCCUAUCUAGGUUUUUAUACAACCGCUUAUGUUGGUCCUCUCACCUUUAUUCUGCCGCGCGCAUUCUCAAGACACCCUCCACGUCUGCAGUUACCCAUGAUUCAUUUAAGAUGGCGAGAUCUGGGACCGUGCUAACAACCCCUCUACCCACCCUUCCCUGUAGAAUGAAAGAAACAAAAAAGAAAUCCCAUUUUGAUUGAACUGGGCAUACAAAAAACGGAGAGGUAUAAUGCUGUUAUAUUCCAUUGGACCUCAUGACAGUUUUACUAAGUGGUUUCAGAUUUGCUACAGUUUUUAAAGCUGUUCCACUGGGACUGCAGAAAUGUUAUGUUGUAGUGGCUUUUGUGUUUGGAAUUGGGAAAGAUGUUUAAUGCAGUUACUACAACACUUUCCCACUGCCUUUUUGGUAAUUAAACUCCUACUUGCUUUAUCUCCUUGUCUGAUGUGUUGUUUAAGAUGUGUUGCCAGAUGUUUUUGUUUUCUGAUGAAUGAACAGAACCAUGUCAGCA